GACGAACGCUGGCGGCGUGCUUAACACAUGCAAGUCGAACGGUGAAGCGCCUUCCUUUUUGGUGGGUGUGGAUGAGUGGCGAACGGGUGAGUAACACGUGAGUAACCUGCCCCCUUCUUCUGGAUAACCGCAUGAAAGUGUGGCUAAUACGGGAUAUUCUGGGUCUGUCGCAUGAUGGGUCUGGGAAAGAUAUUGUUUCGGUGGGGGAUGGGCUCGCGGCCUAUCAGCUUGUUGGUGGGGUGAUGGCCUACCAAGGCGGUGACGGGUAGCCGGCCUGAGAGGGUGGACGGUCACACUGGGACUGAGACACGGCCCAGACUCCUACGGGAGGCAGCAGUGGGGAAUAUUGCAAAAUGGGCGCAAGCCUGAUGCAGCGACGCCGCGUGAGGGAUGGAGGCCUUCGGGUUGUGAACCUCUUUCGCCAGUGAAGCAGGCCUGCCUCGUUUGUGGGUGGGUUGACGGUAGCUGGAUAAGAAGCGCCGGCUAACUACGUG
RNAcentral lists this ribosomal RNA (494 nucleotides) under uncultured bacterium. RNAcentral describes it as "partial 16S ribosomal RNA". It matches the Rfam family "Bacterial small subunit ribosomal RNA", at positions 28 to 507 of the family's 1533-position model. The record is from RNAcentral.